GAUGAACGCUGGCGGCGUGCCUAAUACAUGCCAGUCGAGCGAACAGACGAGGAGCUUGCUCCUCUGACGUUAGCGGCGGACGGGUGAGUAACACGUGGAUAACCUACCUAUAAGACUGGGAUAACUUCGGGAAACCGGAGCUAAUACCGGAUAAUAUAUUGAACCGCAUGGUUCAAUAGUGAAAGACGGUUUUGCUGUCACUUAUAGAUGGAUCCGCGCCGCAUUAGCUAGUUGGUAAGGUAACGGCUUACCAAGGCGACGAGGCGUAGCCGACCUGAGAGGGUGAUCGGCCGCACUGGAACUGAGAUACGGUCCAGACUCCUACGGGAGGCAGCAGUAGGGAAUCGUCCGCAAUGGGCGAAAGCCUGACGGAGCAACGCCGCGUGAGUGAUGAAGGUCUUCGGAUCGUAAAACUCUGUUAUUAGGGAAGAACAAAUGUGUAAGUAACUAUGCACGUCUUGACGGUACCUAAUCAGAAAGCCACGGCUAACUACGUG
Molecule: ribosomal RNA, 497 nt
Filed under: uncultured bacterium
Lineage: Bacteria
Description: partial 16S ribosomal RNA
Rfam family: Bacterial small subunit ribosomal RNA
Source: RNAcentral